RNAcentral lists this ribosomal RNA (424 nucleotides) under bacterium. Its description in RNAcentral is "partial 16S ribosomal RNA". It matches the Rfam family "Bacterial small subunit ribosomal RNA", at positions 355 to 776 of the family's 1533-position model. The record is from RNAcentral.
UGAGGAAUAUUGGUCAAUGGGCGAGAGCCUGAACCAGCCAAGUCGCGUGAAGGAAGACAGUCCUAAGGAUUGUAAACUUCUUUUAUACGGGAAUAACGGGCGAUACGAGUAUUGCAUUGAAUGUACCGUAAGAAUAAGCAUCGGCUAACUCCGUGCCAGCAGCCGCGGUAAUACGGAGGAUGCGAGCGUUAUCCGGAUUUAUUGGGUUUAAAGGGUGCGUAGGUUGUUCGGUAAGUCAGCGGUGAAACCUGAGCGCUCAACGUUCAGCCUGCCCUUGAAACUGCCGGGCUUGAGUUCAGUGGCGGCAGGCGGAAUUCGUGGUGUAGCGGUGACAUGCAUAGAUAUCACGAGGAACUCCGAUUGCGAAGGCAGCUUGCCAUACUGCGACUGACACUGAAGAACGAAGGCGUGGGUAUCAAACAGG